Molecule: RNA transcript, 5672 nt
Organism: Triticum aestivum (bread wheat)
Lineage: Eukaryota; Viridiplantae; Streptophyta; Magnoliopsida; Poales; Poaceae
Gene name: vegetative cell wall protein gp1
Exons: 4
Source: RefSeq, a predicted model, not a curated record
GAUUCUACAUAUGCCCGUCUCUCUAUCCCCACGAGAACACGAACCAUCCCGGCCGCCCGGCGCUAGGGUUCCCUCCGCCGCCGCGCCCCAUCCCUCCGCUCCCAGCAACCCUCUCCACCCUCUCCCAUCCCCAGUCGUCGUCGUAGCCCCUCGCCGCCGUUCGAUAUCCAAGACGGAGCCUCGGCCGACAGCUCCUUGGAGCACGCCGCCCGCCGGUGGAUGCCCUGAUUCUGCGCGACCCCGCCGGAGACUCACCUCGCCACCUUGGCGCCUCCCGCAGGAUCUCCGCCACCGCCUAGCGCUUCUGUGCGCAAGGAUGCCGACGCCUCUCCCUGGUACCUCUAUCUCCACUCCCUCGGGGCGCUGCUCACUGCUCCACACCCCUUUCCUCUCCCAUCCAAUACGGCUCACGGCCUGCUACAGACGCCUGCCGGCUCCCGUGCAGGCCCUCCUGGUGGACAGCCUCCAGCCCACACAAGCUUCCCUGUUCUGGCUCUGUCGCCUACCAUGGUUGAGUAGAGCGAGGAGAUCGAGACGGGAAAUAGUCACUUGAUUUUUGCGGAUUAUGUUGAGCAUGGAGAUUGAUCUUAACUUUUUGGUUGUCCGCAGAUUCAAUGAUGACAACACGCACACCUUUCCCUGAUGCUUGGGCAAAGGCAUGUAUGUCCGAUGUGCAGGCAAAACUUUAUAGAUGCAGAUUACAUACAUUAGAAAUUGCCAACUCGGUGGAUGAUACCUACUAUGACUUGGGACCCAGAAAAAAGAUCAACACGUAGAUGCAGAUUACAUAGAUCAGGACUUGCUAACUCGGCGUAUGACACAUACUAAACGACAUCAACACGUAGGUAUGAGAGUUCGGAAUAUCCAACACGUAGGUGAGGCACGGGCUAUCACCGAGGUGAAGAAUUCUCUCCCGGUUGGUCUUACACAUGGAUGGCGCGCACUGCAAUUUUAUUUUCUUUUGAGCUGGAUGGCACUGCGCAAUCUGAUGUAGUGGAGUGGUUCAGUCUAUAAAUUGGUUUUGGCACAUUCAAAAUUAUUAGCUAGAUUUAAUCGUGAAUUCAUCUGGUUCUAUACAUGUUCUAGAGGUUUAGAGGUUUAGUUGCAAGGAUACCAUAUCGUAAGAUGCACAUUCACAUCUGAAGGUUAAAUGUAUUCAACAAAUCGGGUGACCAUGCGGUUGGAUCGCUGUUAUAUAUUGGUGAAAUAGGAACUUCUCUUUGAAAUAUGUACAUGAUUAUUUUUUGUCAUACUUGCAAAAAUCUCCUCCAUAAUCACUAUGCAUCCAAUGUGUACUUCUUAUCGAAGAUAAAACUAAAUUUUACAUGCUUUUAUACUGAUAUAUUUGACAGCAGAAUUUUUAAUUCUAAUAUUUUAAAUUGAAGAAAAACUUUGAUAUUUUGUGUUUCCCAAAUUAAAUAGCAUAUGAAAUCAAAAAUAGAAUCUAAAUUACUAUCAUAUGCAAAUCGCUGGUUUGUUGACUAUUUUUAUAAUAACAAAAAGGAGUACUUUUUUUGCCGAUGUUCCAUCCUUUAUCGCCCUUUAAAUAAUUUUAGAUCUUUUUUUGUGGGAGAAAUUGUUUUUAUUUGCAUGUUUUAUUUGGCUGCAAUGCAAUGACAACAUGUUCAGAGUGUAUUCCCGUUGCAACGCACGGGCAAUUUUCCUAUUUCCUAUUUCCUAUAUAUAUAUAUCUCCCUAAUAAUAAAGCACGGAUUGACUUUGUCGGGUUCACCGUCACAGUACGCUUCUUCCCAAUAAAGCACGGAUUGACUUUGUCGGGUUCACCGUCACAAUACGCUUCUUCCCAAUAAAGCACGGAUUGACUUUGUCGGGUUCACCGUCACAAUACGCUUCUUCCCAUGAAUUUACGUUUUCAGUUUUUUUCACCUAUAUUAUUUUCUACAUCCGAGGUGAUACUAUUGCUUCUUACCAUCGAAAUUCCGUCCGCUCAGAUCGAACACAAGCGACCUACAGCAUAUUGGGCUUCAACGUGUUCGGCCCAACAAACAAAUCGAGCGAAGAGACCGAUUAGAAGAGCUUCUUCCCAUGAAUUUACGUUUUCAGUUUUUUCACCUAUAUUAUUUUCUACAUCCGAGGUGAUACUAUUGCUUCUUACCAUCGAAAUUCCGUCCGCUCAGAUCGAACACAAGUGACCUAUAGCAUAUUGGGCUUCAACGUGUUCGGCCCAACAAACAAAUCGAACGAAGAGACCGAUUAGAAGACGAAUCAGAGGCCCAAAACAAGACAGAUCUGAACACGUCCUCCGUUCCUAAGUCGGCCAACACGCACGUUCUUCUUUCAUCUCCCACCCCGCAGAAAAAUUCAACCUCCACGGAUCCAUCGCCGCCACCAUACCAAGAUCCGGCGAGAGAGCGAUCGUCCCGGACGUGGGCGACCAUCUGGAACAUGGAGCUGCCAUGAAAACGCUCGAUGUCAUGGAGGGCGAGGUCAAGGUCCGCUACCUCGGCCACGAGCCCACGAUCUCAACUUGAGCUUGUCGAGGCAGAUGUUUUGCGAGCUGCUGGCGCGCCGUGUGCAGCCCCAGCGCCAACAAUAGCCCGAUCAUCCCAGCAGCCGAGGUAGCCAACCGGCUUGGCCUUUGCCCUCGCUGCGCCGCCGUCGAAGUGUGCGGCCGCGGUGGAGUAGCUCUACAGGGCGGCUGCACGGAGGCCGGCAGAAGCUUGUGAAGAGCCAUGACUGUGAUCGAUAGCAGCAAUCGCGAUUUUGAAUUCUUCUUUUGUUUCCCUUUGAGUUGAUGGGGCUAGAUGUACUUCAGACAAGGCUUCAACAAGGAAGAGCGGAAGACCACUAAUACUUUUUAGUAUUGGAUGAUGUAGUGUACUAUCUAUCUAUCCAUUCAAGAAAAUUGAUGGCGAUGGAAUCCGCGUGUGUGCGUGUGUGGCUGUGCCUCUGGUCGCUCGAUGGUUUUUCGGGUUCAGUAAAGUAAGAAACUGUUGGUCCUAUUCUGAAUUCUAAUAAUGUUGAUCACCAGGGAGAGGGAGAUCAGAGGACGGAUGGAAGGGAUGGCGAUAACGUUAUAUUCGAAAGGGAAUAACGCUGAAAUACCUUGCUAUUGCUACCUGUUAGAGUGCAUAAUUAUGAAGUAAAUUACUUGGCACUGCUUAGUUGCCAAACUUGACAGUUGCUAAGACCUUCUGUCGAUAAGAUACACAAACAUACAAUUCCAUGGUAAGUUAACGUCUUCUGAUGGAUUUUGUUUGCCUUUCUUGACAAGAAAACUAUAACUAUUUGCUUAUAGUUUAUCAAAGGUAAUCUGCCAGCGACAUGAGAAGUAUGUUCAUUGAUUUCAUGUGGACUAACUUACUGGAUGACUUUAUUCAUUUCUUAUAGCUUCACUCAAAUAAUUCUCCCUAUAUUUUUGGAUAAUUCAUUUCAUCCAAUAGUUGAUAGUUGCUUCAUUAUUACAAAAAUUGAUCAGACCGGAAAAGAGAUCUUAUGAUAGUUUUUUCGUUAUUACAAAAAAUUCAUCAGAGAGAAAAAUAAAUCUUAUCUGAGAGUUUGAUCUUUUCCCCAUUAUCUGAGAAAAGUUCUCCCUAGAUUGCGAAUGCAAUCGUGGCAUGAAAUUGUUAAGAGUGAAGACAUGCAUAUGGGUACUUUCCACUGGCACAUCACUCUGUAAUGAAAAGAAUAGCAUCAUAUUUUAUUUACCCAACUAUUGUUCUCCAAUACUAAUCAUAUUAUUUGCUUUCUACAGGUACUAUGUAGAGUAUUCAAAGAGGUCAUCUUCAUGAAGCUAGCAGAGGAUAGACAUUAGGAAAAAUGAGAGAUGAGGUUCCGUCGAUGAGGUCGAUCGGCUCAACCGCCGAUGCGAGCCCCCGCGGCUCGAUCCUACAUCGACUACAAUCUGAGGCCUGCACGAUCACAGUCCCACGCGAAGGAACGACGGAGCUCCAUGACCGAGCGCUGCGUCGGCGUACAGACACAGAUUAGAGGUGGCCGCAAACCAGCAGCGCUUGGUGGAUUCAUUGUGUCCUGCCGAUGAUGCUGGUUGGACUGGACCUGGAGAAAGAACACUCAGCUAGGAUGAACAUCCAGCAUGACUGUAUGAUGACGACGAGCCCUGAUUUACUGAAGACUGCGUACGAGUGGAUCAUCGCCACCUCCGAGGCCAACUCGCUCAUCUUCUCCAACUAUGAGUAGCUCCUCUACGAGUUCAACAUAGAUAUUGCCAGUCAUGAAUCAUGAUCAGUGCUGGUCGGAUGAUUACUUAGGCCAUCGAGCUGCCUAACGGCGAGGCGAGGAAGCCAUGUUCCUAUGUCAAGCUGGUGUCUGACCUCGUCAGCGCGGAGCCACAGUGGACAAGUUCACCAACACCAUCGACGAGGAGGCAUAUAACAGGCACCACCGGAGCACCUACACCCACCCCCUCCGGACAUCGAACCGGAACUCUAUUUGACAGCCCCAGUGUUUCAUCAGGUACAUGCAAAAGACAGUCAUAGGGCGCUUCCUAAUCAAGUCCUGAUCAAGUCGUGGUGUUGAUGAACGUCUAUUUGGCACUUAAUUACCCAACGAAAGGUGAAGCGUUUGUGAGGCGCAUGCAUGCGAGAGAGUCGACGACAAGUAAUUGUUGGCGGCAGCUUCAUCACAUCAUCAUGUUUGGUUUGUUCUCUACACGUACGUAUGCAAGGAGUUGAAAAAGUACUCGCCGGCGGCAGCUCAUCAUCUGCUAAUGUUUGCUUUGGCCUCUGCAUCGACACGUAUGUAUCUCCUGUUGCACUCAAGUUGAUGUGGGAAUCAUGCAGGUUUGAUCUACGCCCAUCCUUAAAAACCCGAUGUUUGAUUAUUACUCAGUAUGCUUUAGAUCUUCUUUUCAAAAAGAAAUUAUACUGAUUUUCUCUGAACCAAGUAUAUUCAUACGACUGCUGGGUUAAUAAUUGAAAGCACGAGGGUACAUAUUGUUUGCUAACAUCAACCCUAGAUCCAAACCUCUUGUGAUUUGGUCCAUGCUGUAGUUUUUUUUCCUGAUCUUACAAUUUAGGUCGGGUCUUGUGCGGUGAUAAUCUUUGCCAGACAAAAUCGUCCGGAUGUGGCCGUGGUGGAGUGCGUCUUUCGACACGAUGAGUCAGAAUCCGAAUGGAAUCAAAAGCGAAGAUAGCGGAUCAGAUCAAAAAAAUCUCUCCUGUUUCCGACACUAACUUCUCACUCUUCCCUAUUAUAUUAUAUUAGCGGCAGGAUGGAGGAAGGUGGAAAAUUAUGCAAGGAAAUUAAUCUUUGUUGAAAGUUCCUAUUAGGCGUUCUCAAUCUCGUCGAAUGUGAAUCUUGACCCUUUGACUCGGCUAAUUCUGAUUUAUGGUAAUUGAUGUUGGCUCCGUAUCGAAGCACCGAUGAACCAUGUAGUGGUUGUAGAAAUAUGAGCUAUUGAGCUUCCUUCCCAGUGGGCGAGUGCCUCGAGAACAAGAAGGGUCAAAUAGGAUGGACGAUUGAUUUUGGCUUCGGUUUUAUUCGCAUUGAGGGAUGGAGCAACGGAGGAGAGGACAUGCCAAAGAGAGAAUAUUCGAGCCUCCUUGAGAAAGUCAUCUUGAAAUAGAAGAUAUGGACAUGUUUGUUUGGGAGGGAGGGAUUAAGGCAUGGUUAUAAGCUAUGAGUGUGUGAUUCUUCCGUUGCAACGCACAUGCAUGUUUGCUAGUUCAUAUAAAAUUAUUUAUCUUUAA